UGGGUGACCUGCCCUCAGCUCUGGGAUAAGCCCGGGAAACUGGGUCUAAUACCGGAUAUGACCUCUCAUCGCAUGGUGAGGGGUGGAAAGUUUUUCGGCUGGGGAUGGGCCCGCGGCCUAUCAGCUUGUUGGUGGGGUAGUGGCCUACCAAGGCGACGACGGGUAGCCGGCCUGAGAGGGUGACCGGCCACACUGGGACUGAGACACGGCCCAGACUCCUACGGGAG
This 227-nucleotide ribosomal RNA is filed under the name uncultured bacterium. RNAcentral describes it as "partial 16S ribosomal RNA". It matches the Rfam family "Bacterial small subunit ribosomal RNA", at positions 118 to 347 of the family's 1533-position model. The record is from RNAcentral.